GCGGCAGGCUUCAUACAUGCAAGUCGAGGGGCAGCAUAAAUUACUUGUAAUUUGAUGGCGACCGGCGAACGGGUGCGUAACGCGUAUGCAACUUACCUUUUACUAGAGAAUAGCCAAGAGAAAUUUUGAUUAAUGCUCUAUGUUCUUAUUUACUCGCAUGAGUAAAUAAGCAAAGCUCCGGCGGUAAAAGAUGGGCAUGCGUCCUAUUAGCUUGUAGGUGAGGUAAUGGCUCACCUAAGCUCCGAUAGGUAGGGGUCCUGAGAGGGAGAUCCCCCACACUGGUACUGAGACACGGACCAGACUUCUACGGAAGGCAGCAGUAAGGAAUAUUGGACAAUGGAGGCAACUCUGAUCCAGCCAUGCCGCGUGAAGGAAGACGGCCUUAUGGGUUGUAAACUUCUUUUAUACAGGAAGAAACCUUUCCACGUGUGGAAAGUUGACGGUACUGUAAGAAUAAGGAUCGGCUAACUCCGUGCCAGCAGCCGCGGUAAUACGGAGGAUCCAAGCGUUAUCCGGAAUUAUUGGGUUUAAAGGGUCCGCAGGCUGUUUGUUAAGUCAGAGGUGAAAUCCUACCGCUCAACGGUAGAACUGCCUUUGAUACUGGCAAACUUGAGUUAUUGUGAAGUAGUUAGAAUGUGUAGUGUAGCGGUGAAAUGCAUAGAUAUUACACAGAAUACCGAUUGCGAAAGCAGAUUACUAACAAUAUACUGACGCUGAGGGACGAAAGCGUGGGUAGCGAACAGGAUUAGAUACCCUGGUAGUCCACGCCGUAAACGAUGGUCACUAGCUGUUCGACGUACAUUGGUACGUUGAGUGGCUAAGCGAAAGUGAUAAGUGACCCACCUGGGGAGUACGC
This 856-nucleotide ribosomal RNA is filed under the name uncultured Flavobacteriaceae bacterium. RNAcentral describes it as "bacterial SSU rRNA". It matches the Rfam family "Bacterial small subunit ribosomal RNA", at positions 39 to 885 of the family's 1533-position model. The record is from RNAcentral. Lineage: Bacteria; Pseudomonadati; Bacteroidota; Flavobacteriia; Flavobacteriales; Flavobacteriaceae.